Molecule: ribosomal RNA, 433 nt
Filed under: uncultured bacterium
Lineage: Bacteria
Description: partial 16S ribosomal RNA
Rfam family: Bacterial small subunit ribosomal RNA
Source: RNAcentral
AACGAACGCUGGCGGCAUGCCUAACACAUGCAAGUCGAACGACACCUUCGGCUCCAGUGUCGCACGGGUGCGUAACGCGUGGGAACCUGCCCUUAGGCUCGGACUGACUCCCCGAAAGGGGUGCUAAUACCGGGUAUUGUCUUCCGACCAAAGAUUUGUCGCCUUUGGAUGGGCCCGCGUUGGAUUACCUAGUUGGUAGGGUAAAAGCCUACCAAGGCGACGAUCCAUAGCUGGUCUGAGAGGAUGAUCAGCCACACUGGGACUGAGACACGGCCCAGACUCCUACGGGAGGCAGCAGUGGGGAAUAUUGGACAAUGGGCGAAAGCCUGAUCCAGCAAUGCCGCGUGAGUGAUGAAGGCCUUAGGGUUGUCAAGCGCUUUUACCCGGGAUGAUAAUGACAGUACCGGGAGAAUAAGCUCCGGCUAACUCCGUG